This 500-nucleotide ribosomal RNA is filed under the name uncultured bacterium. Its description in RNAcentral is "partial 16S ribosomal RNA". It matches the Rfam family "Bacterial small subunit ribosomal RNA", at positions 30 to 523 of the family's 1533-position model. The record is from RNAcentral.
AUUGAACGCUGGCGGAAUGCUUUACACAUGCAAGUCGAACGGCAGCACGGACUUCGGACUGGUGGCGAGUGGCGAACGGAUGAGUAAUGUAUCGGGACGUGCCAAGUCGUGGGGGAUAACGUAGUGAAAAUUACACUAAUACCGCAUACGGUCCAUGAAUGAAUGUGAGGACACGGAACCGCUCGGCCGGGUGGACAGGCCGAUAUCGGAUUAGGUAGUGUGUGGGGUAAUGGCCCACCAAGCCAACGAACUGUAGCUGGACUGAGGGGCCGACCAGCGACAUUGGAACUGAGACACGGUCCAGACUCCUACGAGAGGCAGCAGUGGGGAAUUUUGGACAAUGGGCGAAAGCCUGAUCCAGCCAUUCCGCGUGCAGUAUGAAGGCCCUCGGGUUGUAAACUGCUUUUGUACAGAACGAAAAGGUUUCUACUAAUACUAGGAGCUCAUGACGGUACUGUAAGAAUAAGCACCGGCUAACUACGUGCCAGCAGCCGCCGUAA